CCUACGGGAGGCAGCAGUGGGGGAUAUUGCACAAUGGGGGAAACCCUGAUGCAGCGACGCCGCGUGAGGGAAGACGGCCUUCGGGUUGUAAACCUCUGUCGCAGGGGACGAAGGAAGUGACGGUACCCUGUGAGGAAGCCACGGCUAACUACGGGCCAGCAGCCGCGGUAAUACGUAGGUGGAGUGCGUUGGCCGGAUUGACUGGGUGUAAAGGGAGCGGAGGCGGGAGUGCAAGUUGAAUGUAUAAACUAUCGGCUCAACUGAUAGAAGCGUUCAAAACGGCACUUCUUGAGUGAAGUAGAGGCAGGCGGACUUCCUAGGGUAGCGGCGAAAUGCGUAGAUAUUAGGAGGAACACCAGUGGCGACGGCGGCCUGCUGGGCUUUAACUGCCGCUGAGGCUCGACAGCGUGGGUAGCAAACAGGAUUAGAUACCCGGGUAGUC
Molecule: ribosomal RNA, 442 nt
Filed under: uncultured bacterium
Lineage: Bacteria
Description: partial 16S ribosomal RNA
Rfam family: Bacterial small subunit ribosomal RNA
Source: RNAcentral